Molecule: long non-coding RNA, 11778 nt
Filed under: Musa acuminata (dwarf banana)
Lineage: Eukaryota; Viridiplantae; Streptophyta; Magnoliopsida; Zingiberales; Musaceae
Description: long non-coding RNA (MACU_LNC008644)
Source: RNAcentral
CUUCUUACCAGUAGUUCUAAGGCAACUGCCGGUGUCGUAUCUCAUCAAGCCUCCAAUGUUCCAUAGCUAGGUCAAGAUUCAUAUUUCCCCAAGUGAUUGGUGGAUUAGAGUUUUGGACGAACUUUCCGUUUAAGACUGCAUAUCACACAGACUGCUUUUGAGAUUCUCAAAAUUAUUCUUCUUUCAUAUUCAUCAUCAGAGGUGGAAUAACAAGAGCCUUUUGGCUAUAUGCAUUUUGGCGAAUUUGCUCAUUGACAUGUAUGCUAACUCUGUUAAUCCAUACAUUAGUUUUCAGUUUCCUGUCAAGAUCAUGCUUGAGCUUCUUAUUGAGAAUCGAGAGAGUUUUCACACUCCGUAAUGCUGAAAGGUGAAACCAUAUAUCUUCUAUCUAUUAAAAGCAUCCGAAAUAUUUUGAAUUUCUUUCUCUUUAAUUGAAGGUUACAACUUGUUAGCUGUUGGUGUGGCGUAUGCUGAGAUGGAAGGUCGGCUCGAGCUCACAGUGGUUUACGGUCAAAAUCUUGUUGCAAUAUGAGAGCCCUUCUUGAGACGCGAAUCUCGAGUUGGAGUCAACAUGCUUUCUCGUGCAACAAGGCCCAUGUCGGGUGUAGAGUGAGAGUCUAAGAAAUGGGUGCGCUACUUGCAAGCAUUGAGGGAAAAUGUUUCCUGAAUUGAAAAAUAUUUGGGCAUUCUGAUUCUUACUUGCAAGCAUUGAGGGAAAAUGUUUCCUGAAUUGAAAAAUAUUUGGGCAUUCUGAUUCUUGCUGAUGUGGUAGAUUUAGAUGAGGGUGGCGUUGAAGUGCGACGGUGUUCUAAGAUGCUUGAUAUUACAGUUAUGCCUAGGGGGCACCUGGUGGUGUAUGUUCCAGGGAAGAUUUUGUUUGAAUGUCUUGUUAAAAAGGGGGUGCAUUAGCUACUUGAUCCUUUACUUAGGGAGGUUAUAUUGGGUGCUUUUCAAUGAUGCUUUUAUGAGUGAGAGCAUUUUUCAAUGCUUUCUUGGAUAAGAGUAUAACAUGUUUUUUUUUCAUUUUUUUUUCAAUGCUUUUCUUAAGAAAUAUGCAUUAGGUGUUUUUUUGAUACUUUGCUUGAGAAGGACAUAUCAUGUACUUUUUGAUGCUUUGCUCAAGAAGUAUGCAUCGGACACUUCUUGAUGCUUUGCUUGAGGAUGCAUCGAAAGCUAUUCGAUGCUAUGCUCGAGGAGGAUGCAUCAAAAACUAUUUGAUGCUCUGUUUGAAGAGGAUGCAUUUGGAUGCUUCUUGAUAUUUUGCACGAGGAGGGUGCACUCUGAUACCUCUUAAUACUUUGCUCCAUAAUAUCAUAUUAGGCGUUUUUUGGUACUUUAUUUAAGAAUGGCGUAUCAAAUACUCUUAGUACUUUAUUUGAGAAGGGUGUAUUAGGUGUUUUAUGAAGAUUUGCUUGAGGAGUGCAUAUGUUUCUCGAUGCUUUUUCUAAGGAGGGAGCAUCUGCUGUUUUGCUUGAGGAGUGUUUAUCAAGUGCUUUUCGAUAUUGAGUUACUCGAGGAUGCAUUAAAGUUUUUUUUGAUGCUUUGCCCAAGGAAGGUGCUUUUUGAUGCUUUUAUCAAAAAGGCUCAUCGAACGCUUUAUGAUGCUUUGUGUAAGAAUACUGCAUCGACAUUUUUCUAAGCUUUGCUCAAGGAGGGUGCAUCAUGUGUUUCUGAUACUUAAUGCCCUAGAAGGGUACAUUGGUUGCAUUUUUGAUGUUUUUAUUAUGUUAUAUAUUCCAUGUUGGAGCAAGUCACGUCCUUUAAUAAUAUAAUACGGGUCAAAUCUCUAGCUUGACAGCAUAGAUCAUAUCUUUAUUUUAUCUGUUGGAUUUGAUAAUUAUUGGUGAAUUUUGAAGAGGUGGGAAGUUAUGAAGACAAAGGAAUUCAGGGCGGAAAGCCAAAGGUGAAAUGACGUUCGAAAUUUGGAAGGCUAUUUAAUAUCUGAAAGAUCUCCUCGCCUUAUAUAUAGUUGCCUCACUAUAAGAUGGAUUCACUUGUGCCCUUUAGGUCUUUUGCCUCCCAAUCCUUCGUAUUGAGAAUUUCAAGUUAAAAGCUUUCCCUUUUCUCCUUGGGUCGGGUGUCUUCGGAUCCUCUAGCUUCGAGUGGUUCUUCAUAUACCAAACUUAUUAACUCCUAUUUGACCAAAGGGAUUGGAAAUCUUGACCUCCAGAAGCUCGGGGUUACGAAGUGAGUCUUCAUCUUCCUCUUCGAAGACUGAGAGAGACCUUCAGGUCAUCAAGAUUUCUAUGAACAAGACUCUUGCAUUUCUUAAGAGUUAUUAUAUUUCUUGUCUUAGAUUCUUUGUUCACCUUAAGUGCGAAAAUUUAUACCUUAGUUGAGCAUUUGACCAUAUUUGUCGAUGUCUAAAUAUCUUUGCAUAUAAUAUGAUGAAUUGGAGGUGGGGCUCAACAUCCCCUUACCUUUAAUCUCGAUAUACCUUCAAAGAUGGAGGAUAUUACUUUUUCAAAUGACAUCUAACUUAUCAUGCUAUCUCGUUGCAUUUAUCGGGGAGCUUUACUAUGUCAACAUAAACCCUACAUCAGACCUUUCCCGUUUCUGCUUUAGGAUCAACAAAAGGAUUAAUAAGUACUAUCUUACAAUUCGAGAAGGGUUCAAGGUCAAGAAAACCCCGAGCUUCAAUAAGAGGUGAUAGGGUUUUUUCUUUUUUAUUCAUUUGGGACAAGACUACGACUUCAAUCUUGAGUGAUCAAUUUAUAUAGUCUCAGCUUGACCCUACUCCUAACCUUUAAAAGAAAGGAUAAAUAUUCCGACAAGUAGAAUUUCUAUCAUCUUUUUUAACCAUCAAGGUGAUGGAUGAGGGAUGACAUGUUCAAGCUAGCUUAAGUUUUAUUGUUACUGAACCCUAUGCAACUGCUAAUGCUUUGUUAGCACUCUUCUUGUCCUUUGAGACAAAUAUGAAUCUUACUUAGCCUCGGGCUCUGAAGAGGAAGGGCUACAAGGCAAAGAUCUUAGUUAGGGAGAAGGCCCAAUUUGUGAAAAAGGUUAUUAAGAUAAUGGAGCUACUCUACAAAAAUCCCAUCAAAGCGACUUCGAGUGACUCAUAACCAAGGAAGAGGGUGUCAUGGUAAAACGUAAGGUGUCUCAGUGCCAAGUCCUAUUGAUACCUCAGGGAGUCACUCAUGCCCUGAGUCUAAAACAUAUAAGGCUAAUAUGGUUCAAAAGAAGGCAAGGUGAUAAUUAGUAAAGGAGCUUUGCAUAUAAACGACCUACCCCUUUCAUUGAUCUCCAUGUCGUAGAUCUUCCCAAUGCUAAAAUGAGGGAAAUAAUAUAGUUAAGAUAUAAUCUUUCAAUUAUCAUCGAGCCAUAGAAAGAUGAGAAGACAAUUGCACACUAUCUUCGAGAGGCCUUGGUCUCUCAUAUAGUUAAGAAGGUCUACUCCUUACUCUUAGAUAUCUUAAUUGCUAAGUUAGCUAAGCAUAUUGUUAGGGUGAAUUUCGCCUCUAUCUUAUUCAAUUCAUUUUUCCUAUUAGUUUUUACAAAUCUUACUGAAAGACAUCUUCCUUGCAAGGUAACUUAUAUCUAAUGGGCUUGAUUGACCAAAUCUAUGACUCGGAGGGUCAUCAUCAAUUCUUUGUAUGAGGUAGACUCACUUCAUGAAUUGGUGGUUGAAUUGGAGGCCUAUGCCAACCGCAAGGAGGUUUUCCAUAGAUAUAGAGAAUAUUUUCCUUCAUCUACAGCUCGACACAUAAUUGCCACACAUUGAAAUCAAUUAAGAGCCAAUCGAAUUGAUAAGUCACAAUAAUAAAAUAAAAAAAUAUUAUUCAUUAUGAGGAAUAUUUUCUUAACCAAUGCGACUAAGGAAGGACCAGCUAUAAAAGGAGAUCACAAGCAUGUACUUCAAGGUGAAAUACACUCUCUCUAUUUUAUCUACGUCAGAAUCUAACUUAGGCAUUAGAGGGACCAUGUUUGUAACCUUUCAUAAUAUCAUUUUUCGAAUAGGAGAAAGUGGAAGCUGCUCGAGUUCUGCACCAUAUCAUAAGUUCACGGUAUUUUGAGCAAUAUUAGCUCUUUUGGUAUAAGUUAGUUUUAAAUCAAGUAUGACUGGUCUUAUGGUUUAAAAGGUGAUCAUCAACAUAGUCAAUAUAACUCAACCAAAUAUGGCUCUUGUCAAGGCAUAGAAAAGCACUAAGUAGUUGAGGUGUGACUACGUCGAGCAACAUGACAUACUCAAAGCAACAAAAGUCAUAACCAAGUAAAUCGAGGACCAAGGCUAUACUCAAGCUUUGGAAGCCCAAGUCAUGAGCUAGCGAAGUGUCUAUAAGCCAAAGAGGCAUUUCACUCAAAAAGAAAUAAGGAUGCCAUCUUGACCUAUAAGGAGUCAGUCAAUCUUAAGAAAGGGCAGCUCAGAAUGAGGUUGGUAUCCUACAAGCAUAGAUACAAUCUAUCUAUAAUUUUGAUUUUGGCAAAGUACCCAAACUUUAAAAUGUAGAAGGAUCUUUGGACUUAGCAUCUUAAGGAUGCAUAAGUAAAGAUAAAGAUAAAGAAGGAGUUCAACGACAAUCCAAAGUCUUUGCUUAGGACAUUUCUUAUUUAAAAUAUUUUUCUUAAUUUAAAUGAGAUAUGUAUUUUUGUUUUGAUAGUGAGAAAAAUGUGCUAACAUAUUUUUCUCGACAUGAAACAUAUUAUGAACUAAGUUACAAUUAGGGAUAAAACUUCUUGAAAUUGGAGAUAUACCAAGUGCAUUAAAGUGUUAUCCCACUAUGCUUCCAAAGUGGAUGUGUUCUAGGUUAAUUGUUGAACUAUAUUUCAUUAUUUGUGAUGAUUAUUUGAUUAUUUUUGGGAUUUUAAGUGAUUAUGUUCAUUCAGAUGAAGUUCUUAACUUCUUUCUCUAUGAUGGAGGCUAACAAUUUUGUCUCCACCCACUUAAUGAAAUAAUGGGCCAUAACAAUUAAAAACCUAUACUGACUCAAAGCUAGUGAAAGUGUAUUAAGAAGGUAUAUUCCUCAUUCUGCAAAGAAUCGAACACAAUCAAUAGGUUGAAGGAAUUGUUAAUUAUUGUUUAAUUGAAGCAAACCUUUAUCAUUGAUCAUAUAAUUGUGUACAAGUCAUUUAAUCCUUCUUAGGAGUUAGCCAAUAUCAACCUUUGGUGAAGAACCUUCUAGAAUUUGGUUGCUAAUAUGCUCCCAGCAUAGUUGUUUAAUCAUCUUAGUUAAUAAUACUCUGUGUCUUGCUUGGGAGAAGACAUCUUAGAUAUAGUUGAUUGAUGGAUCUUUAUUAGAGAUGAUCAUUGAUAAUGUGGUAACAUGAUUGGAUGUGUCUGAGUCACUUGGUUCUUGACGCGAACAAGUACAAGAUACUUCUUACAGGCUUUGCCUUGCCAAGAAGCUUCUCAUUGACAAUUUGAUUAUGUAUAAUACUAUCAACUCAUCAGAAACCAAAUGAGAGAUGACUUUGAGCCCUAAAACAUCACGAUGAUGAGGUACUCAAUGGAAAUAAAUGUGAUAAACACUUAUUUUGUGAGGCCAAUGCUCUUGUGAGUUUGAUAUCAUGCUCCAUCGUUGCCAUCGAUGAAAGCCUUGAUUUCUUGCAAAUUUUUUAGGUUAAGGAUGAGCUUGUUGAAUAGACGACAAGCUUAAGCUAAAGAGGCAAUCUUGCCAAUCGACCAAUUCAUCCAUAAAGAGAGUCCCUUUUCGACUUAGGGAAGGAUCCUUGGGAUUUUGAUGUGGUAAGUUUCGAGACAAAAUAUGUUAGUGCCUAAACCUUAAUCAUCAUUCUCGAAGCUAAAUGUCAAAAUCCCAAGCUCGAUUAGCCACAUAAGUAGUUUGCCAAGGCAUUGGGUUAUGAGAGGAUUUACCAAAGUGGCUAUGGAUAGUGUAUGCUUCAAAAUAUGACCUAUGCUUCAAGAGAUAAGGUAACUUUUUCAACAAUUGGAUAUUUCAACUAGACCUUGUUCAAUACAAGGCUAACAUAGUAGAUUAGUUUCUAAGUACCCCCAACCUCUCAAACAAGGAGCAAGUUGACAACAAAGGGGCUCAAGAGCUACUUGAUAAGAGAAGCACUUGUCUCUGAUUUGAGAUCGGAAAAUACUCGAUGUUGUGGUAUGCAAUAUAGACCUCUAUAUUUCAUUCACCAAUAUGAGCAUCUUCAUCUCUUUGAAUGAUUUUUAUCUUCUCGGGAUCACAUCAAUUCCUCUUUGGUAAAUAAUGAACCUGAGAAAUAUCCCCAAAUUGAUACUAAAUAUAUACUUAGUCAGAUUUAAUUAUAUCUUAAAUUUUUUAAGGUAUACAAAAGUUUCAACUAGGCCAACUAGAUAUAAAUCGGUUGCCAUACUCUAUAUAAUAUGUUGUCCACAUAGGCUUUCAUAUUUCAUCUGAUUUGUAACUAAAUAUUAUGUUCAAAAUUAUGUAGUGUGUGGUACAAAUGAUUCUUAAUCCAAAGGGCAUGACUUUCUUGUUCGUGAUGAAUGAUGUGUUCUCUUGGUCUUUAAAAUUCAUUCGAGGAAUGUGUUUUCUUAGUCUUUAAAAAUCAUUCAAGUAAUUAUACGUGAAGAAGGUAUUCAUAAGAUUGAACUAUUUAGCCUAAAUUGGCAUCAGUUAGCCAGCCUAUUCGAGGCAGUGGGUAAUUAUCCUUCAAAUAGAUACUAUUUAAAUCAAUAUCAUUAACACACAUUCUCAAUUUGUUAUUAGGUUUUUUAACCAUUAUAAUGUUUGACACAUCUUUAAUGAUUUUUCUACCUUUUUCUUUGAUAGUCUAUAACCAAUCUAAUACAAAUCUUUAUGGUAUCUAACGUUAGGAGUUCAACCUGAUAUAGAGAUGAUGUUUUCCACUAUCGGGUCAAUUCCUGACAUAUCUUUUGGUAACCAAGAUCUCGACAUUAAUCCUUAGGAAUUUGAUGAGUUUGACCCUUUUGCUCUAUCCAACGGUUGGUUGCACUAAUUUUGUUGAUAGUAGAAUCAGAUCAAGUUUGGGUAAGAGGAACUAUUUUUUAAGUAGCUCAUUUACCUCUAGAUUUAAAGGGUGAAGUUUUGAUUCAUUAUGGGAUCAAACUAUUAGACUGACAUUGUUGCUUUCAAAUGGAGAGAGAGACCGACCUAUGUCAAGUAGCAUCAAGAGUCUUCUUAGGAUGUUUUUUAUUUUCCUAUUCCUAUUUUAGUUGGGAAUUCUAUUAACAUGUGAUUCAAAGAUGUGGUGUCAUUCAAAGAUGUGAAUUCUAAAAUGGAGUCAAGUCAAAUCUAUUCGUUCUCCUACAAGAAAACUUAAGGUAGUAAAUCUCGAUAAUGUAUAAUAGAAACUUUUUGAUUCAACACAUUGUGUUGAUGCACUGAAGGUUUAUGAUUAAAAAGAAUAUCUUGAAUAAAAAAAAUUCGAAAAAUCUAAACAUGUGCUGAUCAAGGAGACAAUGUGAAGAAACCAAGGAAGAAAUAGAUAGUUAUUCAAAGUUCUAAAUCUCAACCUGAUAUCAAUUUCUGCAACUCAUCAAUAUACUGACUUAUACCAUCCGAUAUCAUUGAAUAAACUAUGUAAAAAAUGUUCAAAAAUAAAUGACAUUUCGUACCGAUAUUGAAUUAUAUGUUUCAAUACCGAAUUUAAACUUGAAUUAUACCCACUGCAUGAGGCUGUUGCACGUUAAUAUCCCAUGGAAAUAGAACCAACUUAUCCUGAUUCUACUGGGAAGGGACAAAAAAAAUAUGAUUCUAUACAUCUUUAAAAAUUGAAGAGUUGCAUGCAUUUACAGAAUAAAGUUUGCACAUCCUUAAUGAAUGCCUGUUAAUUAUAAUAUACAAACAACGGUAUUUCAUUUUACAUUUCAUGUAUCUGUAUGCUAUGACUUCGCUGCACUCCCAUUUCCUAAUAUUCUCCCAGACUUUAUGCGAUCUGGAUUGGUUGUGUUGACUCCUUCCGUGACAGUUUCAGGGCUCUCGUAUGGUAAUACUACCACAGGGGCAGCAUGGAUGCCUGCCCACCGUUCCCUUAGAAAGCUCACAAAUUUCAUCACCAUUUCCCUUCGGAAUUGUAGCUCACGAGUGAAAAGAUCAAAGAUAAUGAAAGCAAGAAUAUACUUGAAAGGAAUCACAAGGAGACUGAUUGCGGAACCAAGUAGCACGACGGCAACUUCAAAUGUUACCUGCAAGAAACCCAAAUAGAUCCAUUAAUGUCAAAAUUAAGUUUUUGUAGCAAUCACUAAGCAGAUAUGUGUUAGAAAUAUAUUAAGAAUCUUAUCAAUUUUAAGGUUCAAAAAUGGAAAAUUUGCUUAAGGUAACAUGCAAUUAGUUCAUCAGCUGGGCGUGAAAGGUGGAGUUUUCUACACAUUAGAAACAAAUCAAAUUUGCUGAUCAAAUGCUUGAGAAGUAUCAAGAAAUCUACUCCAUUUUAGGUUUCAAAGAUGAAAUUUUGCUCAAGGUAUUAUGCAGAUGGUAGCUAGUUCAGUUGUAUUUAAGAUGCAUAGGAGUAUUCUAAAGACUCGAAUCACAUAUAAGAUGCUGAAAUCCAUCAGCAGUAUCUGUUAUGAAACAUAGAUUUCUGAUCAUCCACAGGGCAGUCCAUCUAGUGCUGUAACCUAUAAGUUGGAUAUACUCAUGGGAUGUCACUAAAGCAUAAAAUUUAGUCAACAUUGUCUGCAGCAAUUACUUGAUUACAUACUCAGCAAAGUGCACUUGAAAGGGUUUUUGAGGUGAAAAAUUGGUUCCCUCAAAUAACUUAUGGAGCAAGGAACAAACAAACAUUUUAAACUGCAUUAGAAAUUCUAUCAUGUGUUUGAUGACCUAGUGUUAGCAUAUGGAUUAACAAUGAAGAAAUUUAAAUUUAAGAAUACAAAUAUGAUGUGUCCUAAAGAAAAUACCAAAAUUGAUACCAAACACAUCAUAUAUACAACUGCAUUUUUCUUAAUUGACUAUGCUCUUCAUUGAUAUGUUAUAUGAGUGGCAGUUAAAUAGGAAGUUUUCAAUGGUAGAUAAUACACAAAUUACUGAACAAGCUUGAAUUUUGUAGUACUAGAACCCAAUUUAGAAUUAAAUCGAUAAACAUGUCUAGUGCAAGAAGAAUAUUGUAGAGCUUCUUCAAAUCACAUUAGGAAAAAUAAUGAAAGCUGCCUUAGCAUACCUCAGGUUGAACUGAUAGCAUAAUAGUUCUAAUCUUCAAGAGAAUAACAUUUAUGUUCUGAAGAUAAUUCUCCACGUAUGCCAUGGCCUCUUUAAGAGCAAUAAUCUUCUGGAUUGUGUUUGAGGGUGGUUGAUCACGUAUUACAACUCUACCAAAAAAUCUCCCCAAACGACCUUGUUCUUUGAGACCCUUCAGUAAUAGCAUGGUGGUAGCCAUAACUAUUAGUGUUGCUGGGAGUACAUAUGAGAGUAGAUUUCUGAAAGGAAGGACAACAGAAGUGGUCAUUAGAGUAGUUUUUUGAAAGGAAGGGCAACAGACAUGGCCAAGCAAUCAGACAUUGUAAACUUCUUCCCAAACAUAUUAGUGAAUCAUAUAACAGGAAAUAAUUCAAAAUAUACCUUGAAUUGUGCCAGUAAAUGUUGAUAUAAUUUUUAAAAAGAAACAAGUUGAAACAUUUCUUAGAGUGGAAUUACUUACAAUCUUUAUUAACAUUAAUUAAUCAAUGGCAACAAAAAAAAGCCAAAGAAAAAGAAACAAACAAACUGCAUUCUUCUCAACAUAUUGUGUAUGCUACAGUGCAUAAAUCAUGUAUGUGAUUAAAACACGAUAGGAGGGCAAGCUUUGGCAUCAGAUAAGGUCGCUAUUUUACGAUAUGAAUGCUAAUGUUCAAUUCAUAGAAGUAGCUUCCCUGUCUGAGAGGUAAGCUUGGACAUGUUCAACUUCCCUAGAUCCGGCAUUGAUCGGAUCCUGCACUAGACCACCAUUUAGGGAAGGACAGAAAUAUCAGAGUGCAAAAAGAUCAAGAUGCUGACAAAAGCAUUCACAAAGAAAAAAGUAAUAGAAAUUGAAAGCAUAUAGAUGAUUUGCCCAAACUUUUUGCUGUAGGAAUUUACAGGUAGACUAUACUAAAGACAAUUAAAAUGCCUAUGCAUAGGAAGGCAUGUUCAGAGACAGCCUGGGCUUGCACUCAAGCAGAACUUGUUUUUUUGGUGAUCCUAUCAGUAAACAUUCAGCAGCAAAAACAACAUAUAUUUCCAAGCAUUCAGAAUAAAUGAAACUGACAACGCUUACGUGAAAAUGAUGGUAUAGGCAAAAACAAGGAAAGAUAUAGUCACACGUGGCUUCUCCCAACGCCUAAGUUUGUCAAAUUUCUGGGCAACGACUACCAAAGGAAGCAUUAGCUCCUGAGGAUCCAGAAAAAUGGAACAAGUUAUUCAACUAAAAGAAGCAUACAACAUAGGAAAUAAGUGACAUAUUUUAACUUCAACAAAGUUGUUGUAGUCAGCUCAACAAUUUAUUUCCCAUGUUAUUGGAGUAUGAUGAUAACAGAGAAUGGAAGAGAAAACACAACUGAAUGACAAUUGACAGAAGCAACAAAUAAACCAUAAGAGGAAACAUCAGGUAUGUAAUACUUUAUCAACAUGGUUAACCUCAAGUAGGCAUUGGUGAGAAAAAUGGUGGGUGCAGAUACAUGGAAGUGAUACUCUGCAAGAAAAUGUCAUGGAAGUGGGUGUAUCAAUUGGUCACUGAGGUUCUGGACAACUUCUCACAGUAGUGCCCUAGGAUCAUAAGUAGAAGUUUCUGAAAAUUUGAAAUGUAUGAGAGUUACACAAUAUGGUUAACCUCAAGUAUGUAAUACUUUAUCAACAUGGUUAUCAACAUGGUUAACCUCAAGUAGGCAUUGGUGAGAAAAAUGGUGGGUGCAGAUACAUGGAAGUGAUACUCUGCAAGAAAAUGUCAUGGAAGUGGGUGUAUCAAUUGGUCACUGAGGUUCUGGACAACUUCUCACAGUAGUGCCCUAGGAUCAUAAGUAGAAGUUUCUGAAAAAUUGAAAUGUAUGAGAGUUACACAAUAUGCAUCUUUAAUGAACUGGCAAAACUGGCUAGAUUUUAAUAUACUCCAAAGUCAAUAAUACCCUUGUUCUUUAAAUCAAAUUAAAUUAAAUUAGGAGUAUUUAAAUAAUAUCACCAUUAACGAGUACAAUUUCAGCACUAAGUAAAAAGGAGAGGAGGCUACAAAGAAGAGGGAGGUGGUGGCAAAGAAGAAGAGGUAGGUAGGAGGAGGUGCUGGAUGAUGAGAGGAGGUAGUGGCAGCGAUGGAGGAAGAUGAGGAGGCAGCGAUAAAGGAUGAAUAGGAGAGGAGUGCCACCAAUAGGUCAAGGACGGCGAGCAGCAUACGAGAUGCAAGUCCACAGGCAUAGGGUUAAAAAGAAUAGAAAAAGGGCUUACCACCUGGUCCAGGCCUGGACCACCUAGAAUUAGGAUGGUUUGUAUGUCGGUUUAGGUCUGGACCAGUAAAUACUGGCCAGCAUGUACCAGUCCAGAUGAAAUUGCAUUCACUGAUCACCAUUAGUUAACAAAUUGAGUAAUCAGCCUGAACAGUCUCCCAUGGAUGUCUUGUUCUCAUGCACAAGAGGAGGAGAAGAGUAGAAAUAAGAAAAAAAAAAGAGGAGGAAAGGAGAAAGGGAAGGGUAAAAAAGAAGAAGAGGGGUAGGGGUGGUGGUUUGGGGGGGCGGUGGAGGGGGAGGAGAGAGACAGAUAAGGAAGGAGAAGAAAAAGAGCAUGGAGUAUAGGAAGGAAGAAGGGAAAAGAGAUGAGGAGAAAAGAAGAAGAAAGGAGAAAAUUUUAAAAAUUAAAAAAUUAAAAAUAGUUUUUAUAGAUAUAUUUAAUAAGCAAGUGGUCUGACCAAGUAACCCAGUGGUCCAACCAGUAACAGAGU